Molecule: unclassified non-coding RNA, 248 nt
Filed under: uncultured fungus
Lineage: Eukaryota; Fungi
Description: sequence contains ITS2
Source: RNAcentral
AACACCAUCAAACACCUCCAAGAGGGGAGGGUUGUUUUGGAUUUGAGUGUCGCCGAGAAAACUUAACCCUUUUUGCGGCCCGCUCGAAAUGCAAGUACACAGGACAGGAAUCCCAGAACCCCCCGAGGUGUGAAACAAAAAAGCGUCGUAGUUGACUUGAUUGUCUUCUUUCGCUGAAAAAGAACACCCGGUUUUUGGGACCUUUGCUGUGCAAAUUCGCAGGAAGAUAACGAAUAUUCUUUAUCACU